CAGCCGCCGCGGUAAUACGUAGGUGGCGAGCGUUGUCCGGAUUUAUUGGGCGUAAGGGGAGUGUAGGCGGUCUUUUAAGUCUGAUGUGAAAGCCCACGGCUCAACCGUGGAGGGUCAUUGGAAACUGGGAGACUUGAGUGCAGAAGAGGAGAGCGGAAUUCCAUGUGUAGCGGUGAAAUGCGUAGAUAUAUGGAGGAACACCAGUGGCGAAGGCGGCUCUCUGGUCUGUAACUGACGCUGAGGCUCGAAAGCGUGGGGAGCAAACAGGAUUAGAUACCCCUGUAGUCCCUGUCUCUUAUAA
Molecule: ribosomal RNA, 301 nt
Filed under: uncultured bacterium
Lineage: Bacteria
Description: partial 16S ribosomal RNA
Rfam family: Bacterial small subunit ribosomal RNA
Source: RNAcentral